This is a long non-coding RNA of Mauremys mutica (yellowpond turtle), 515 nucleotides long. RefSeq lists it as uncharacterized. The record is from RefSeq and is a predicted model, not a curated record. The transcript has 2 exons. NCBI's taxonomy places the organism in Eukaryota, Metazoa, Chordata, Testudines, Geoemydidae.
UCUACUCAAGAUCCCGAACGGUCAUUAACUGAAUACAUCCAUCGCUUAGAGGUUAUCCAGCAGAGAUUAGGAGGUGCACAAACAGGAAACUCUCCAGGACCACCUCACCAGAGAAACAUAAAGUGAUCAGAGCGCUUCUCAGAUCUGGGACCGAAAACCCCAGGAUGCUGCUUCCUUCUGAAGUGGAUGUUUUUGUAUUCUUGUGUUUCCGAGCAGUACGAAAUCCAACACUUAUGUGCAGUUGAAUAAAGGGGUUUUAGUGUCUAUGCAAUGUUUUUGCAUCAGAUUUUUAUGUAAUCGGUUUAUUAAAUUUUAGUACAUUUAUACUUUUAUAGGAAGUCGCUAUUCACUCACAACAAUGUUUUACAUACUUAUGGGGAAUAACUGUUAACCAUAAUUUAAGUGUGCCUGCAGGAUUGUAUUGGAAGCCACAAAGUGUCUUUUUUUAAUGUUUAUUUUUCUAAAGUGUAUAGCCGGAUUCCUUGUAAAAAGUUAUUAAAAUGACAUUUUAUUAG